AAAAAUAGUUAAAUUUAUUAUAGUUGUAAUGUUUAAACACACAUGCAAUGUUUCACCUGUAGGAAAUAUUUACAUUUGCACAAAUUGAAAUGAAUGACAGAAAAAAGAAAAUAAAGGAGCUUUUCAAGAUUACGGAUAUGGAAAUCAACGAAAAGGCACAUGUCUCCCAAAAGAUUUCAGACCAUGUAAAAGCAUCUGUUGACAACCUUCAAAAAGUAUUCUUCCAUUCAAGUGAAAUACAAUAUCAGGACUUUGCUAAGGUAGGCAGAAAUCAUUCAACAUAAAUUAAGUACAUUUUUAUAUUGGGAAAUGG
This 313-nucleotide long non-coding RNA is filed under the name Lepisosteus oculatus (spotted gar). RNAcentral describes it as "lncRNA (ENSLOCG00000021994.1)". The record is from RNAcentral. Lineage: Eukaryota; Metazoa; Chordata; Actinopteri; Semionotiformes; Lepisosteidae.